RNAcentral lists this long non-coding RNA (1150 nucleotides) under Sorghum bicolor (sorghum). RNAcentral describes it as "long non-coding RNA (SBIC_LNC008737)". Lineage: Eukaryota; Viridiplantae; Streptophyta; Magnoliopsida; Poales; Poaceae. The record is from RNAcentral.
ACAUGCUUUUACAUAAAAAUUCUUCCAGAUUAAAGUGAAGUGUUAUGAAGUUUAGUACCUGCACUUAAGUCUUAAGUAAUUGAAAGACAAAAUAGUUAAGUCAAGCACUAUCCCUCCUGUUUAUACUUCACCUUUGUUCUAGAGUUUUUCAUAAGUUUUCAAAAUAAAACUCAGAGUUCCCAGCAAUGAUUCUCUCAAGUCUCUCUAUAUGUGGUAUUUGUGGUUCCUUACCAUAAUGUCACUUACCUAUAGCUAAUGGAAUGUUUAAGUGGAGCUCAUAGGAGUGAAAACAGCUCAUACAUAUGUUGUCUAAUCGAGCCAUGGAUCCAAAGGAACUCAGCAUAUAAUUAAAUCAAGAUGUGCAUGUGUGAUGGAGUAAAUGAUAGUGAUGAUGAAAAUGCAUAAGUGAUUAUAAAACUUAAUUCUCAUUGCUCCUUAUAUUGCUAUCUCUUCUCUUCUUUGAUCUUCGCUUUGGGAGAACAUGGGCUCUCUUUUUCUCUCUUUUUUUUUCAGGUGGGUAGUAGAUACCCCUAAUUCUACUGUCGGACACUUGUCCAUUUUUACCUCUCAAGUGGGCAUCUUUGUACCCCUAAUUCUACUCCGGACACUUGUCCAUUUUUACCUCUCGUCUCCCUCUUUUUCUUUCUUUUUCCGAGGUUCCGGGCACUUGCCCCUUUUUAUUUCCUCAUAUAUUUUUGCAUAACCCAUGCCUCUUCUGCAUUGAAUCUUUUUAGAGAGAGAAUAACAAUAUUCGGGACAGUGAGUAAUAAUAUUUUUUAGCAAUUUUAAUGAUUGGCGAUGAAUGCUGUGGUAGAUGUGUGCAAGUGAAUAUCUUAAUUUAACCACAUGAAAAGCUCCUAAGGGUCUACACAGCUUGAUCAAACUCAAUGUGAAUAUAGUAAAAGAUGUUAUAGCAAGUAUGGCUGUGGUAGGUAAUUUGUUAUGCUAGGAACUCAUCAUGUGAUUUGUAAGUUUUCAAAAUAAAUCUCCAGAACAUAGUGUAGUAGGAACAAGAUAAACAGUAGCUCAACUUUAUAUCAUGCCUUUCUCUCACCUAGAAUUUAGUUUUAUGCUUCCCAAAGAUAGUAAUUUUUGUUUUAGUAAUUCCUGGAAGAACUCUAAUAUAAAAGCUAGGUAGUUGUAAGUAAGC